CAACUACUCCCUCUGUCCCAAAUUUCUUGUCUUAGAUUUGUCUAUAUACGGAUGUAUCUAAUACUAAAAUGUGACUUGAUACAUCCGUAUCUAGACAAAUCUAAGACAAGAAUUUUGGGACGGAGGGAGUACUUU
Molecule: non-coding RNA, 135 nt
Organism: Triticum aestivum (bread wheat)
Lineage: Eukaryota; Viridiplantae; Streptophyta; Magnoliopsida; Poales; Poaceae
Source: Rfam